Molecule: ribosomal RNA, 717 nt
Filed under: Debaryomyces hansenii
Lineage: Eukaryota; Fungi; Ascomycota; Pichiomycetes; Serinales; Debaryomycetaceae
Description: eukaryotic LSU rRNA
Rfam family: 5.8S ribosomal RNA (bases 183-336)
Source: RNAcentral
AUUUGCCGCGGGGCGAAAAAAAACCUUUACACACAGUGUUUUUUGUUAUUACAAGAACUUUUGCUUUGGUCUGGACUAGAAAUAGUUUGGGCCAGAGGUUUACUGAACUAAACUUCAAUAUUUAUAUUGAAUUGUUAUUUAUUUAAUUGUCAAUUUGUUGAUUAAAUUCAAAAAAUCUUCAAAACUUUCAACAACGGAUCUCUUGGUUCUCGCAUCGAUGAAGAACGCAGCGAAAUGCGAUAAGUAAUAUGAAUUGCAGAUUUUCGUGAAUCAUCGAAUCUUUGAACGCACAUUGCGCCCUCUGGUAUUCCAGAGGGCAUGCCUGUUUGAGCGUCAUUUCUCUCUCAAACCUUCGGGUUUGGUAUUGAGUGAUACUCUUAGUUGAACUAGGCGUUUGCUUGAAAUGUAUUGGCAUGAGUGGUACUGGAUAGUGCUAUAUGACUUUCAAUGUAUUAGGUUUAUCCAACUCGUUGAAUAGUUUAAUGGUAUAUUUCUCGGUAUUCCAGGCUCGGCCUUACAUAUAAACAAACAAGUUUGACCUCAAAUCACGUAGGAUUACCCGCUGGAACUUAACCAUAUCAAUAAACCGGACGAAAAGAAACCAACAGGGGAUUGCCUUUAUUUUCGGGGGAGUGAGACGGCAAAAGCUCAAAUUUUGAAAUCUGGCACCUCUCCGUGUGCCGAGAUGUAUUUUUUAAAAAAGGAAACUUUUGAGAU